This 1017-nucleotide unclassified non-coding RNA is filed under the name Achromobacter sp. RNAcentral describes it as "partial contains 16S ribosomal RNA, 16S-23S ribosomal RNA intergenic spacer, and 23S ribosomal RNA". The stretch from base 1 to 310 matches the Rfam family "Bacterial small subunit ribosomal RNA", at positions 1217 to 1533 of the family's 1533-position model. Lineage: Bacteria; Pseudomonadati; Pseudomonadota; Betaproteobacteria; Burkholderiales; Alcaligenaceae. The record is from RNAcentral.
CACACGUCAUACCAUGUCGGGACAGAGGGUCGCACCCGCGAGGGGGAGCCAUCCCAGAAACCGAUCGUAGUCCGGAUCGCAGUCUGCAACUCGACUGCGUGAAGUCGGAAUCGCUAGUAUCGCGGAUCAGCAUGUCGCGGUGAAUACGUUCCCGGGUCUGUACACACCGCCCGUCACACCAUGGGAGUGGGUUUUACCAGAAGUAGUUAGCCUAACCGCAAGGGGGGCGAUUACCACGGUAGGAUUCAUGACUGGGGUGAAGUCGUAACAAGGUAGCCGUAUCGGAAGGUGCGGCUGGAUCACCUCCUUUCAGAGCUUAGUGCUCGUGUUAAGCGUCCACUCUUAUCGGUUGUUUGAUAUAUAGCUGGGAUCGGUUGUGGGCUUGGGUAGAGGGAUUCCUCCCUGUGUCCAUGACUCCUGACUACUGAUCCGAGAAGGUUUUGGGUCUGUAGCUCAGUCGGUUAGAGCACCGUCUUGAUAAGGCGGGGGUCGUUGGUUCGAAUCCAACCAGACCCACCAAGUAUUCGCAGGUAGUUGAUACCGUGAAUAUGGGGGUGUAGCUCAGCUGGGAGAGCGCCUGCUUUGCAAGCAGGAUGUCAUCGGUUCGAUCCCGUUCACCUCCACCAAGACUUUAAGAUCACCUGGUGGUGAUGUAGAGGCUAACUCAUAGCGUCGUGUAGAUAAUCUCUGCCCGGUCUUAUGAGUUAGGUUUUACCUGACAGCUAUAUUCGUUCUUUAACAAUCUGGAAGAAGCACAACGAAAUGUACUUAUCAAGUACUCGGCGCAAGCUGAUGAAGAUAAGUACGGGUUGUGAUUGCAUUAAUUUUGUUCCAAGUUCUCAAGACUGGGGUGAAUAACCUCAGACUGCUUUGAAACUUAUGAACGGCACAAACGCUAAUACUCAGGUCCUAUAGCCUACAGCGUUAUAGGAUCAAGCGACUAAGUGCAUAUGGUGGAUGCCUUGGCGAUCACAGGCGAUGAAGGACGUAGUAGCCUGCGAAAAGCUGCGGGAGCUG